Molecule: non-coding RNA, 22 nt
Filed under: Mus musculus (house mouse)
Lineage: Eukaryota; Metazoa; Chordata; Mammalia; Rodentia; Muridae
Source: RNAcentral
UGUCGUAUUCACUUUUGUCCCU